GGACUAGGAGGUUCACGUGGGACAUUCUGUUGCCAUUUGCCCACUGUGACCCUGGGCAGGCCUCUUGGAGUUAGAAGGUGCCACAUGUUGCCUUGGGCCCUUGGGACACCCCUCCUGGCUGCCUUGAAGUGCCUCUGGAAGUGUCCCUCCUCAGAAGGAAGAGCACACAGUUCUGUGUCACCUGAGGAGGCACGAGUGCAUGAACUGGUGUUACCAUGUGCAGUGACCAGAGAGGGUCCAGGUGAGUGGCCAGCUGGAUGACGCUGGGUGAGUCACCUCAUCGCAGGGCAGGAGCCAUCUGUAGAAGGGUCAUGGCGCCCUCACAGGAGGGGCAAAGGGCAAAGGUAGCUUUCAGACAAUAACCCUCACAAAUGCUAGCAAGCAAUGAUGCCACUUCAUUCAGAGCAGAAACAGGCCAGGGCGCCAGUGCCCUCCCGGGGGCCUGGGGUCCUGGAGGCAGGAGGAACACAGUCCCAAGGACAGGCUCAGUUGGAGGCUGCCAGCUUGCUCUGCAGGGAAGGCUGCACCUGGGAGGAGUGAAGGCACAAGGCAUUUUCCUACUGAGCACCUGCUAUGUGCCAGGAGCCACAUUAUCUCAAACAGAAGAUCCUGCCAGGCAGCCAUCCCCACACUCCUUCUUAAAAAGAGAGGAAAGUGAGUCAGCACGGAGUGUGAAGCAACUUGCUCCAGGUCACACAGCCUCUCUGUCUUCCUCUGAGUGCAGUGAUCCACCCCGGGGUGGAGGGGCCACCACCAGAAGGCAGGCUUAGCCGCCAUCCUGACCACCCAGUGGGGAGGGCACGAGGGUGAUCUAAAAAACCUGCUGUCCCCUGGCCACUGCCUUUCCAUUCUCACCACCUCUGCUGAUCACAGAGGCACCGUCCACCUGUCCAGCCCUGAGGUCAAGCAUUGCCCCUGGUCUGGCAUUGUUCUCUGUGAUCCCCAAACCCAGGGCUUUUCCUAGGGAUGGAAGGGGUCUCAGUCAGCUCUUGGGUGUGACAGGGAACAGAGGCUUUGGAUGAGUUUCCUGUGUAUGCCCCCACCCAGACCCAAGGCCACAUACCAGAAUCCAGUCCUGGCUGGGGCAACAGCAGUUGGGGGGCGGCAGGGCUGGUCUAAGGUUCUUCCAGGGGGAAGAACCCUGGCAUAGGGGUAUAGUGUAUGCACAAAAAGGAGCAAGACAGGCGACCCCAAAGGAAACUCAGGGAGCCUGGGUCCUGGAUAAACUCAGGCAGGGCCUGCUAGGAACUCCUGCUCUAUGGCCAGCCCACCUGCUAGUACCACUGGACAUGGGGCUGGAGUGGCUGAGGGGCAGGGAGCAUGCUCACCACGGGGAACCCACCAUCCAUCCUCUCCAGAAACAUUGACAAAGCAUUCACCAUGCUCCGGGCACAGUUCAAAGCCAUCAACUAAGCCAAGAAACCAGGUGCUACAUGUGGAAGUCCUGGUGGGCACGCCAAGCCCCUGCCAGCCCCCAGCUGGGCUCCUGCUCCUGUUUGGGGACCCACUAGCCUCGGGGAACUCGCCAGCCUUCGGUGGUCUCUGAAAUGCUCCUCUGUUGUGUUGUAGGAUUCUGAGAGCCUGUUGUUCUGUCCUGCUGGAAAAGAAAGAAAAAAGAUCUGCAGACUGUGACGUGGCCGCAGGACAGAGCCCAUUGCACUGCUCAGCUGGACGGGGGACAGGGAAGCCCUCAGGUACAGACCUCAGGGUACUUGACUCAAGAUGUCCAUUCCAGGAAGGUCUCCUUCACCAGCCCAGAAUCCAAGGACCUGAGAGGCUCUCACCUGUGGCUGCCGAUCAUCAGAGAGAGUGACAACACGGAGCAAAGAUCUUUGGAUAUCUCUCAGCCAAGCUAUAAAUAAAGACCAUUUAUCAUAAGAUUGCCGAGUGGAUACUAAGUUUUGGACACCUGAUACAUCAUCUUACUUAAGCUUCAUGAGAAACCAGCGUGGGAGAUGUCAUGGUUACCAUCUCACAGACUGGAGAUCAAGCCCAGUGAGGCUGAGGUGUCCGAGAUGGCGUGGUUUAUUAUGAUGGAGGAGGGAGUGGGAAACCUGUAUCCCGAGCUCAUCCAGUGGAUGCCCUCCUGCACCUCGUCAGUAGCCUUUAUUUGAGGCUGUAAAGCAGGCUGUACCUGGUGGGCCACCUCCUGUGUGCGUCUCUGGCCCUGGACUUCUUGCAGGACAUGCGGUCUGUCCCUAGUGAAUAUGUCAGGAAUGGACAGGUGAGUUAAGUUUCUUUUUACACAGAAACGAAAGUAACACCUCCAUCCACAUGACAGCCAGGCCACCGCGCAGUCAGUUAAAGCUAACCCUAAAUAUCUUAGAGACGAUAUCGAAAAUACACAACUGGGGCUCACCGCAGAUUUCCGACUUGGUAAUGCC
Molecule: long non-coding RNA, 2384 nt
Filed under: Marmota monax (woodchuck)
Lineage: Eukaryota; Metazoa; Chordata; Mammalia; Rodentia; Sciuridae
Source: RNAcentral